GGGGAUAUAGUUUAACUUUGGUAAAACAUAUGUUUUGCAUACAUAAAAUUAUUGGUUCGAAUCCAAUUAUCUCCA
RNAcentral lists this transfer RNA (75 nucleotides) under Phyllymenia turuturu. RNAcentral describes it as "Grateloupia turuturu tRNA-Ala". It matches the Rfam family "tRNA". Rfam says of the family: Transfer RNA (tRNA) molecules are approximately 80 nucleotides in length. Their secondary structure includes four short double-helical elements and three loops (D, anti-codon, and T loops). The record is from RNAcentral. Lineage: Eukaryota; Rhodophyta; Florideophyceae; Halymeniales; Halymeniaceae.